This 506-nucleotide ribosomal RNA is filed under the name uncultured bacterium. RNAcentral describes it as "bacterial SSU rRNA". It matches the Rfam family "Bacterial small subunit ribosomal RNA", at positions 8 to 526 of the family's 1533-position model. The record is from RNAcentral.
AGGGUUUGAUCAUGGCUCAGGACGAACGCUGGCGGCGUGCUUAACACAUGCAAGUCGAACGGUGAAAGCGGAGCUUGCUCCGCUGGAUCAGUGGCGAACGGGUGAGUAACACGUGGGCAACCUGCCCCAGACUUCGGGAUAACUCUUCGAAAGAGGCGCUAAUACCGGAUAUGAACUCUGCAGGCAUCUGCGGAGUUGGAAAGUUUUUCGGUCUGGGAUGGGCCCGCGGCCUAUCAGCUAGUUGGUGAGGUAGUGGCUCACCAAGGCGACGACGGGUAGCCGGCCUGAGAGGGCGACCGGCCACACUGGGACUGAGACACGGCCCAGACUCCUACGGGAGGCAGCAGUGGGGAAUAUUGCGCAAUGGGCGAAAGCCUGACGCAGCAACGCCGCGUGCGGGAUGAAGGCCUUCGGGUUGUAAACCGCUUUCAGCAGGGAAGAAGCGAAAGUGACGGUACCUGCAGAAGAAGCACCGGCUAACUACGUGCCAGCAGCCGCGGUAAUAC